RNAcentral lists this ribosomal RNA (497 nucleotides) under uncultured bacterium. RNAcentral's name for it is "partial 16S ribosomal RNA". It matches the Rfam family "Bacterial small subunit ribosomal RNA", at positions 28 to 507 of the family's 1533-position model. The record is from RNAcentral.
GAUGAACGCUGGCGGCGUGCCUAAUACAUGCAAGUCGAGCGAACGGACGAGAAGCUUGCUUCUCUGAUGUUAGCGGCGGACGGGUGAGUAACACGUGGAUAACCUACCUAUAAGACUGGGAUAACUUCGGGAAACCGUAGCUAAUACCGGAUAAUAUUUUGAACCGCAUGGUUCAAAAGUGAAAGACGGUCUUGCUGUCACUUAUAGAUGGAUCCGCGCUGCAUUAGCUAGUUGGUAAGGUAACGGCUUACCAAGGCAACGAUGCAUAGCCGACCUGAGAGGGUGAUCGGCCAAACUGGAACUGAGACACGGUCCAGACUCCUAAGGGAGGCAGCAGUAGGGAAUCUUCCGCAAUGGGCGAAAGCCUGACGGAGCAACGCCGCGUGAGUGAUGAAGGUCUUCGGAUCGUAAAACUCUGUUAUUAGGGAAGAACAUAUGUGUAAGUAACUGUGCACAUCUUGACGGUACCUAAUCAGAAAGCCACGGCUAACUACGUG